GAUCCUUUGUUUUAGUCUGGCUUGCAAUUUUAAUGUUAUUCCCACUUAUAGUUUUUUGUUAAUAUGGAAACAUAUACGUUAUGACUUCGAGCUUUGGCGACUCUUUACUUCUCUGCUUUACUCCGGGCCUUUAGGAUUUCCUUUCCUUACUAAUCUCUACUUAAUAUAUCAAUACUCUUCAUGGUUAGAAAAAGAAGAAUUUUCCGGAAGAAAAGCUGAUUUUGUUUUUAUGUUAAUAAUAAUAGCUGUUGCUUUAAUGGUGUUAGGGUUAAAUCCUUAUUAUCCUGCUUAUUACUUGGCAACGUCUUUGUCGAUGGCGUUAACAUAUAUCUGUUGCCAGCUUAAUAAAGAUGCCGUUGUUACAUUUUACUUUUCCAUUGCGUUGAAAGCCGUUUAUCUUCCUUGGGCACUUCUGUUGUUUUACACUUUACUUGGAGAUCCAAUUCGCCUUGAAAUAAUCGGGAUGAUUUCUGGGCAUUGCUACUAUUUUUUACAGUAUAUUUAUCCUCAACAUAGCGGGACUGUUUUACUUACUACUCCAAAAUUUCUUAAGAAAUAUUUUUCUGAUUCGCGCAUUUCACGCGUGCAGGGGGUUGGAGUCAUCUUCCGAUCUCGAACUUCUUCUGCCGGAGAGAGCAAAUCCAGC
Molecule: long non-coding RNA, 646 nt
Organism: Zophobas morio
Lineage: Eukaryota; Metazoa; Arthropoda; Insecta; Coleoptera; Tenebrionidae
Exons: 6
Source: RefSeq, a predicted model, not a curated record